RNAcentral lists this ribosomal RNA (253 nucleotides) under uncultured bacterium. RNAcentral's name for it is "partial 16S ribosomal RNA". It matches the Rfam family "Bacterial small subunit ribosomal RNA", at positions 524 to 776 of the family's 1533-position model. The record is from RNAcentral.
UACGUAGGGUGCAAGCGUUGUCCGGAUUUACUGGGCGUAAAGAGCGCGCAGGCGGUCGUUCAAGUCGAGUGUGAAAGCCCCCGGCUCAACUGGGGAGGGUCACUCGAUACUGAUCGACUUGAAGGCAGGAGAGGGAAGCGGAAUUCCCGGUGUAGUGGUGAAAUGCGUAGAUAUCGGGAGGAACACCAGUGGCGAAGGCGGCUUCCUGGCCUGCUCUUGACGCUGAGGCGCGAAAGCUAGGGUAGCAAACGGG